This 253-nucleotide ribosomal RNA is filed under the name uncultured bacterium. RNAcentral's name for it is "partial 16S ribosomal RNA". It matches the Rfam family "Bacterial small subunit ribosomal RNA", at positions 524 to 776 of the family's 1533-position model. The record is from RNAcentral.
UACGUAGGGUGCGAGCGUUGUCCGGAAUUAUUGGGCGUAAAGAGCUCGUAGGCGGCUUGUCGCGUCGUUCGCGAAAACCCACAGCUCAACUGUGGGCUUGCGGGCGAUACGGGCAGGCUAGAGUUCGGUAGGGGAGACUGGAAUUCCUGGUGUAGCGGUGAAAUGCGCAGAUAUCAGGAGGAACACCGGUGGCGAAGGCGGGUCUCUGGGCCGAUACUGACGCUGAGGAGCGAAAGCGUGGGGAGCGAACAGG